AUUUCAGUUAGACAGGAUUCCAGUUCUCUUGCAUCAACUGAUACCCUUUCAGAUGUGUCAUCCCCAGAACGUCUGAGCAGAUGGCCUCCAGGUCCUUUACAAAUUCCCACAUUUGCAUUUGACGUUGAGCUGACACUUAGAGAUGGGAAUGCUGAAUUUGAAAAGAAUGAGAGACCUCUUCAGUUGUCAAGGGACCAAAAGCACAAUAUUUUAGACAAACUGGCAUCUACCAUAUAUGGUUUUAAGGCUUACCCCAGUGAUAAAGAGAUAGCAAUGGUGGCUGAAGCUCUUGUGAGGAAACACCCCUGUUUAAUAGAAGCAGGAUCUGACAAUGGAUGGGAUGGGUGGAAAAACAGCAUCAAGUUUAAAAUGGGCAAUUACAGGACCAAGAUGAGAAGGGCUGGAUGUCAGGAGGUCGCUGUAAAUGCUGGGAAAAGAAGCCGAAAAAACCCUGAGAAUGAACCUUCACACUCCAACAUCAAAAGGCCUAAGUGUGCAGAGGUCAACUUUCUGCCUAACUUUCCUCAAGGAGAGGAUCCCUCAAGCCUUGACCUUUUGAGGCAGGCUAUUGUCGAGGAAGUAAAGAAGACUGAGAGAAACCUACCCCUUAUUAGUAAGAUGAUGCAGAACACGUUUGCCUUGCGACGACAGACUAUUGUAAUGUCCUGCCCACCGGUGAAAGAGCUAAUGGACCUCUGGCCUGCUCUUCAUAUGCAGUCUGAGGUAAAAUCAUCAUCAAUUUAAUAAAUAAAUUCAUUUUGUAGGUUAUUUUUUCUGUUUUUAUCUUUGCUACUGUAUGUCACAUUGUGUGUAAUGUUGCCUAAUUUCAUUCAUCCUAAAAUAAAUAAUUGCUGUUACUGUCCUUUCCUCAAUGGAGGUAUAUGUAGAGUUCCAACGGAUAACUAACCAGAACCUACCUAACACUUUCUAUGCCGAGCUUGAUCGCCACACUCCUCGUUUGAUGGCCUUAUUUAGACAGAAAGCUUCCAAAACUGAAAAGACUGCAGAUGCUUUGGCAAACAUUUUCAAAGUCCAUGAUACACAGGAAUUACAUGAUGUCCACACAAAUGCGUACCACUGUUCUCCAUGCCCUUCCUGAUUAUCUACUAGAGGAAGUCUCUGGAUUUUUCAGAACAUGUGUGGAUGAUAUGGAUGAGCCAGACCUGUGGGAUGCAUCAGUGGUCCUCCUUACAACAGUCAGUGAUGAUGCCACAAGCCCAGUUCACUACCACCCAGUGAGAGUCUCUGUCGUCCUAGAGGGUGAUGUGGUUGUCAAUCUCCCCAGGCUUGCUGAUGCCUUCCUGGUAAUGUUCGGCCUGAUUUAUGCACUACAUCUCAGCUAUCCCAAGGGACUGACAAACACUUUUGAGUUCACACAGAAAAUCUUGCUUGGUCUUGAUGACUCUAAACUGUCACCCAAGCUGCAGACUCUUAAAAAUGAGCUGAUGUUGUAUGUGUAACUGAAGAUCCAAAAAGGAGUGGUGGAUUCUGAUGGCUCACUCUGUUAGAGCAUAAUCCAUAAUGAGAAUAUGUCAUGUCAGGUCCAUGUUGAAUACUGUUCAACUGUUUAUGUUAAAGUUGCUGCUCUACUCAACUGGUUUUCAGCCAAAUGGCACAAAGUACACACUGUCUUUGUACGUUUUAAUGUACAUUUUAUUGUUGUUAAAACUGAAAUUCAGGGUUGAAUUAAGUGUUUAUAUAUGGAGGAUAUUUUUAUUCAUAAUUCAAAUUGAAAGGCCAAAGGGAAAACGAAGCGAGAUCAAAUAAAAAAUAUUAUUAUUUUACUACACUACUAGGAAAAAUCAUGCCAUAAUUAAAUUUAAAAUG
Coregonus clupeaformis (lake whitefish) is the source of this 1827-nucleotide long non-coding RNA. RefSeq lists it as uncharacterized. The record is from RefSeq and is a predicted model, not a curated record. The transcript is spliced from 3 exons. NCBI's taxonomy places the organism in Eukaryota, Metazoa, Chordata, Actinopteri, Salmoniformes, Salmonidae.